AGGAGGUAUAUUUGUGGUUUAUUGUUAAGCUGUUUAACAUUGUCUCCCAUCCACAACUGAAUUUGACUGGCUUAAA
This 76-nucleotide small RNA is filed under the name Erinaceus europaeus (western European hedgehog). RNAcentral's name for it is "Y RNA (ENSEEUG00000021112.1)". The record is from RNAcentral. Lineage: Eukaryota; Metazoa; Chordata; Mammalia; Eulipotyphla; Erinaceidae.